RNAcentral lists this ribosomal RNA (253 nucleotides) under uncultured bacterium. RNAcentral's name for it is "partial 16S ribosomal RNA". It matches the Rfam family "Bacterial small subunit ribosomal RNA", at positions 524 to 776 of the family's 1533-position model. The record is from RNAcentral.
UACGUAGGGGGCUAGCGUUGUCCGGAAUCAUUGGGCGUAAAGAGCGUGUAGGCGGCCCGGUAAGUCCGCUGUAAAAGUCCAGGGCUCAACCCUGGGAUGCCGGUCGAUACUGCCGGACUAGAGUUCGGAAGAGGCGAGUGGAAUUCCCGGUGUAGCGGUGAAAUGCGCAGAUAUCGGGAGGAACACCUAUGGCGAAGGCAGCUCGCUGGGACGUUACUGACGCUGAGACGCGAAAGCGUGGGGAGCAAACAGG